AGAUGGGCAUGCGUGACAUUAGCUAGUUGGUGAGGUAACGGCUCACCAAGGCAACGAUGUCUAGGGGUCCUGAGAGGGUUAUCCCCCACACUGGUACUGAGACACGGACCAGACUCCUACGGGAGGCAGCAGUAAGGAAUAUUGGUCAAUGGGCGCAAGCCUGAACCAGCCAUGCCGCGUGCAGGAAGACGGCCCUAUGGGUUGUAAACUGCUUUUGUCAGGGAAUAAACCUAUCUACGUGUAGAUAGCUGAAGGUACCUGAAGAAUAAGCAUCGGCUAACUCCGUGCCAGCAGCCGCGGUAAUACGGAGGAUGCAAGCGUUAUCCGGAUUCAUUGGGUUUAAAGGGUGCGCAGGCUGAUUAUUAAGUCAGGGGUGAAAUCUCUCGGCUCAACCGAGAAACUGCCUUUGAUACUGAUAGUCUAGAGUAUAGUUGAAGUUGGCGGAAUGUGUCAUGUAGCGGUGAAACGCUUAGAUAUGACACAGAACACCGAUCGCGAAGGCAGCUAGCUAAGCUAUAACUGACGCUCAUGCACGAAAGCGUGGGGAUCAAACAGGAUUAGAUACCCUGGUAGUCCACGCUGUAAACGGUGAUUACUCGAUGUUGGCGAUACACAGUCAGCGUCUAAGGGAAACCAAUAA
RNAcentral lists this ribosomal RNA (640 nucleotides) under uncultured bacterium. Its description in RNAcentral is "bacterial SSU rRNA". It matches the Rfam family "Bacterial small subunit ribosomal RNA", at positions 223 to 863 of the family's 1533-position model. The record is from RNAcentral.